This 379-nucleotide ribosomal RNA is filed under the name uncultured eukaryote. RNAcentral's name for it is "partial 18S ribosomal RNA". It matches the Rfam family "Eukaryotic small subunit ribosomal RNA", at positions 592 to 976 of the family's 1831-position model. The record is from RNAcentral.
CAAUAGCGUAUAUUAAAGUUGUUGCGGUAAAAAAGCUCGUAGUUGGAUUUCUGUUGAGAGUGACCGGUCCAUACCAUGUAUGCGUAUCUGGCUUGCUCUCGGCAUCCUCUCGAUAGACGUUACUGCGCUUGAUUGCGUGGUGCGGAUCUCGGGACUUUUACUUUGAGGAAAUUAGAGUGUUCACGGCAGGCUUUCGCCAGAAUACAUUAGCAUGGAAUAAUACUAUAGGAUCUUGGUUCUAUUUUGUUGGUUUCUAGAAUUGAGAUAAUGAUUAAUAGGGACAAUUGGGGGCAUUCGUAUCAACACGUCAGAGGUGGAAUUCUUGGAUUGUGUUGCGACGAACUACUGCGAAAGCAUUUGCCAAGGAUGUUUUCAUUGA